This 731-nucleotide ribosomal RNA is filed under the name uncultured Carnobacterium sp. RNAcentral describes it as "bacterial SSU rRNA". It matches the Rfam family "Bacterial small subunit ribosomal RNA", at positions 55 to 776 of the family's 1533-position model. Lineage: Bacteria; Bacillati; Bacillota; Bacilli; Lactobacillales; Carnobacteriaceae. The record is from RNAcentral.
AUGUGAGACGCAAGAAUUAAAGAUUUAUUUUUACACCAAGAGAGUGCCGACGGGUGAGUACACGUGGGCACCUGCCUUUAGAGGGGGAAAACAUUCGGAAACGAUGUAAUCCCGCAUAGUUUCAGGAAUCGCAUGAUUCUGAAGGAAAGGUGGCUUCGGCUACCACUAAUGGAUGGACCCGCGGCGUAUUAGCUAGUUGGUGAGGUAAUGGCUCACCAAGGCAAUGAUACGUAGCCGACCUGAGAGGGUGAUCGGCCACACUGGGACUGAGACACGGCCCAGACUCCUACGGGAGGCAGCAGUAGGGAAUCUUCCGCAAUGGACGAAAGUCUGACGGAGCAACGCCGCGUGAGUGAAGAAGGUUUUCGGAUCGUAAAACUCUGUUGUUAAAGAAGAACAAGGAUGAGAGUAACUGCUCAUCCCCUGACGGUAUUUAACCAGAAAGCCACGGCUAACUACGUGCCAGCAGCCGCGGUAAUACGUAGGUGGCAAGCGUUGUCCGGAUUUAUUGGGCGUAAAGCGAGCGCAGGCGGUUCUUUAAGUCUGAUGUGAAAGCCCCCGGCUCAACCGGGGAGGGUCAUUGGAAACUGGAGAACUUGAGUGCAGAAGAGGAGAGUGGGAUUCCACGUGUAGCGGUGAAAUGCGUAGAUAUGUGGAGGAACACCAGUGGCGAAGGCGACUCUCUGGUCUGUAACUGACGCUGAGGCUCGAAAGCGUGGGGAGCAAACAGG